RNAcentral lists this transfer RNA (73 nucleotides) under Candidatus Tayloriibacteriota bacterium. RNAcentral describes it as "tRNA-Thr". It matches the Rfam family "tRNA". Rfam says of the family: Transfer RNA (tRNA) molecules are approximately 80 nucleotides in length. Their secondary structure includes four short double-helical elements and three loops (D, anti-codon, and T loops). Lineage: Bacteria; Candidatus Tayloriibacteriota. The record is from RNAcentral.
GCCAUUGUAACUCAGUCGGUAGAGUGCCAUCUUCGUAAGAUGGAAGUCCCCAGUUCGAUUCUGGGCAAUGGCU